Long non-coding RNA from Anolis carolinensis (green anole), 11533 nucleotides. RefSeq lists it as uncharacterized. The record is from RefSeq and is a predicted model, not a curated record. NCBI's taxonomy places the organism in Eukaryota, Metazoa, Chordata, Lepidosauria, Squamata, Anolidae. The transcript has 2 exons.
UGUAGGGUCGGAGGAGCAGGGUCGUGCCAUUGCGCAGGCGCAAAGAAUAAAACCGCGACCCACUGCGCAUGCUUGCGGAGGAUUCUUCCUGCGGUGGCGCCAUAGCGCAUGCGUGAUUGGAGCCGAGUGGCAUGGAGGCGUAAAUAAACAAAGCAGUGGGUGUCACCGCGCAAGCGCAAACUGAAGCAGCUCCGGAGUUGAAUUGAAUUCUUCCUCUGCGCAAAGGGCGGAGCUUGGCGCCUCUGAAGGGGAGGCCCACUGACUUUGUGGCUCGGUUAUUUUUAUGGCUUGACCCACUUUCUUGCGUUGCUGAGCAGCUUUGGGGGGCCUUCGUGGGCCUCAAACUCAGAUUAGACACCACAGUCAGAGCAAAACACUCCGCCGAGAUUCCAAGUGGCAUAUAACAUCAUCAACCUGCAUAUAUGGAGUUCCUUCCUUUCCCUUUCUGAGUUGAAGAGUCCGUAAUGGUUUUUGACUUUUCUAUAUGUAUUAAGAAUAAUGGCUAGAAUGUCCGUGGAUGUCCCAAGUCCCAUUAUGAUGUAGUAAAAUGAGGUUCCUAAUAUGAAAUGGUAAAAUCACUUUUUUGCUUACUAGAAUUGUUUAAUAUAUUUUCUAACCAUGGAUGGUUGAAUCUAUGCAUACAGAAUCUGUGUAUAUGGAUGGACAACUGUAUCUCACAACCUAAUUGAAAUGUUGCCACUUUUUUGCUGAAUGUCCAGUGAGCAAAGAUAGCAGCCUCUGUAUAGACUGCUGUUACAACUCAUGAUCUGUAGAGGGGUGUCUAUAGAUUUAUUAUUUGCGACAUUUAAAUGUUGUUAUUGAUUAAUUAUUUCCAAAACACUUAUAUGGUAUUUUAUUAUCUGAAGGCUGUAAGUACAAGUAUGCAGGAAGGGGAUAGGUAAAGGUAUUAGUCCGACUCUGGGGGGUUGGUGCUCAUCUCCAUUUCUAAGCCGAAGAGCUGGCAUUGUCCGUAGACACCUCCAAGGUCAUAUGGCGGGCAUGACUGCAUGGAGCGCCGUUACCUUCCCGCCGGAGUGGCACUUAUUAAUCUAAUAACAUUUGCAUGUUUUCGAACAGCGAGGUUGGUAGAAGCUGGGGCUUACAGUGGGAGCUCUCCCCGCUCCCUGGAUUCAAGCCUCCGACCUUUUGGUCAGCAAGUUCAGCAGCUCAGUGAUUUAACCCUCUGCGCCAUCUAGGGCUCCUAGGAAGAGGGUAGAAAGAUUAUUAGGAUUUCUACACCCUUACAAUAGCAUAACUAACUUCACAACAGUCUUAAUUUUGACCAUAUUGGAGGAUGGUUUGUUUUAACUGACAAAUGACGUGGUGGCUUCAGAUGUGGAGGGAUGAAUCCAUAUGAAACAGAAUUCUUAAUAUAUAAAAUGUGUGCAAUCUUUGUAUUGAGUGUUAGGAAGUUAGUAGCAGCUGACAGACAGCUACGUUAGAAUGUCAUGUAAAUUGCCUUGAAUUCCAUGAUCGGAGGAAAUAUAGAAUAUGAAUGUGCUGUUAAAGAAAUGAAGGAAUGGUUAGAGAAAAGUGGCAGAUGAGACAAUUGUACUAGUUGAGAAUAGCAGUUGAAUGGAUUGUACUAGCACAGAGAAACCACCAAACUAAUGUAAUAACUAUGUUCAUUUAAGUCAAUAGAACAUUGCAACUUCAUUUUUAUACAUUUAUUUUAAUUAAGCUUUGUUAAAUAGGACCUGCUUUGGACAGUUUUACUACCUGAGCUAUUCCAAAGACCUCACAAUGUUGGAACAGGCUGCCACAGGAAAGCUGUUAACACUCCAUGUAGAGCUAAGCUUUGGAGACAGUCAUCAUUGGAGAUUCUGAACUCUUGAGGUCCAUUUUCAGUUUAUAUAUAAAAUUAUUCAUGACUGAUUCGCUGGAUAAAUGUUUAUGAUUAUUUUCCAAUUAUCUUUAAUAAGACACUAAGGAUAUCAAUCAUCUGAAACAAAUUCAAUACAUUUAGCUAGGAAGAGAGGAAGAGACAUUGCUUGCAUGUUUGAUGUUGAUUUCAUUUUCAUAACAAGCUGUUAAAGCAGUUUUUGAAGGUUUUGGCUGGUUCCUUUCAAUUAUAGUACUAUUGAGUUAUAAAACAUUUAGAUUUAAGCAAGAAUUCAUACCUCCUAAGUAUCAAUAUAGUUUGCAUCUCAAGAGAGAAGUGUUCAGGUAGUUAGAGGACAAUAAUACAAGACCUAAUUUGGAGAUAAAAAUAUUGGAAAACAAACAGCAACAGAUAUUUUUGGUGUUUGUGCAUAGCCAUUGUGGUUGCAUUUUAUUGUCAUAUUUGAUCAUUAUUAUACAAAAUAUACAGAGUUGAAAAUGCAAAGCUGAGAACAGAGCUUGGUGUGCCCCACUAGUACAGUGGGACGUGAGCAUCUGGCCUCUACUGGAUGACUGUAGUGACAGCACAGGUAGAAAGAUGCUGCUGGCAUGUCGGUGAGGAAGGGAAGAGUAGACAGCAAGACAAAACUAUAACUUCCCAGCCUGAAUAUAGCAGCCUCACUUGUGUCAUGAUAGCCAUCAGAUUAGGUACAUCAAGAAACAAAAUGGAGAUAUAUUCAAACAAAAUAACAUUGUGCAAGAUGGUGAAAGAUGUGUUAGGUUAGGAAAUUAUUUUUGCAGAAUCAUGGAAUAUUCUGAAUGGAACCACCAUGAUAAGAACAAAGAGAGUACAGAGUAACAGCAGAUGAAGAGCUUGUGCCCUCCUGCUUUUUAUGUUCAUUAUUUGUAGAAUAACCUGGCUGUUGCACUCAUAACAUCUCACAUAGUUUGAAAUUGCCAUGCAUUAAAAGAGUGAUGGUAUGUAAUUUGGUGAUCAUAUUACUAAUGGUUUAAUCCAAGGCUGUCAAAAUGAGGGGAGUCUCUGCUGAAAGUGAUACUAAGAGUGUGGUCUUAGGAUUUGUUUCUUAGGUAUAAAGCUGUAGGGCAUUUUCUCCUCAGAAAGGGAUACAAGCCCUUGUUCCAAAUUGUAAAAAGUUACUUUUUAGAUUGCAACUGGCCAUGUUUGGCCAGGCAUGAUGGGAGUUGUAGUCCAAAAAGUAACUCUUCCAAGGUUUGGGUUUAACAUGAAGUUACGCGGGCUGGAUUUGUGGGAAAGUUCACUGUAGAUACCAUAAUAAAGUGGCAUCCCCUUAUUGUUUCCUAGCUCCCUAGUGUAAUUUCUAGUAGAGUUAAGACUAUACCUGGCAUUUUAAGGAAGCAGACUUUAUGUUUUUAUAGGUCUGAUGUUCACAUUUUAUUUAAGGAAAACUGACAAUAGGCCAGGGAAACAACUCUACCCAAAACUCUAGAGGCAGAUGGUAUCGAGAUGGAUGGGCUGUUAGCCUAACACAGUAUGAAGUACUGUAUCUUCUUGUAUAUGUAUUUUGCAGUUGUUAGCAUUUUUCAGUCAACGUAGCUGUUAAGAUAAGAGAAAGUACUCCUUGGCCUUUCUUUUUAAAAUGUAGCCCAGAGAUAGCCAGUUUAGAGCUGAAGUUAAAACAGCCUUUUUGGACUAAUUCUGCUUUGCAUUUUUGCACACAGCAGCACUCAAAUGGUCCUGUUCUGCUUUGCUUCUUGUAACCAGGCAUGCAUUAAAAUCCCAUUCCCUGUUCCAGAUAACCCAUGUUAGGUUGUUAUUAAGGGGGAAAGGAGAAGUGGGGAUAUACCAGAUCCUGUAAGAUCAUUCUAAAGACCCACUUCGAGCUGCAGGACUACUUUCUUCUAGAUGUAGCACAGCCUUGUAUAAUGACUGUUAAGUAUGGGAUAUAAAAUACAAAUGUAAUCCUCUCCGUUGUGAAUUUCCACACAAUCAUCAGGCAUCCAAAUCCUGGCUACUUGGAAACCUUUUGUAUAGUGAAAGAUGAUCCGCCACUGGGUGAAGACAGUUAAAUCAAAUACUUUAACAUGCUAAUUUUUAACAUGCUUUGACACCAAACAUACACAAACUCUUCGCUGUCCUGGAAAUAUCCAAGAAACAACUGCAGAAUAAUGGGGCAAUACCAAAGUAUUUGGGCUGGUCUGAGUGAGAUUUGGUAUGAUACUUUCUCACCACCACCAUCAUGAUACUUUCCUUCUGCAGGUUUGAGUGUUUGUGGGUUGUUGUAUUUUUAACUUAAUAAAUAGAACCAAAGAUUUUGGUGAGGGAUAACAAAUGAGGUAAUUAAGGAAAUAUCUGUGUACAGAAAAUGCUUUUCAUCGAUGGAAGACAAGGGAGUACAAAAAGUGCAUGUUGGGUUAGAAAUUGUUUCACUGAAGAAUAUGUAUGUGUGGGUUUAGGAACGAUUAAGAGGGGCGUUUGACUGAUUAAAACCAACUGGAGGCAAAGGCAGAAGGAAAUGUAAGCCAAGAGAAAGGAACAAUUUAAAGUGGUGUACAGAAAGUUGAACUUACAGCUCUUGGAAGUUACAAAUUAAAUGAAAACUGUUGGGUAGAUUUAGUGCUGCCCCCAGACCCGGACCUCUGCUGUGAUGCUCCACUAUUUAACCUAGAGAUUAAAGAGUCCUUCAGGGUGGUGUGAUGGAUUGGCAGGAGGUGACAUGGCAGUCUCAGGAAGGGGAAGAGCCUCAUUUGGGGUCUAGUGCACAUGGAGGUCUGUUUGCAUAGCUAAUAAAGUCUGAGCCAGCCAGUUCUACCCACCAGUCUCAAUCCAAUCCUUCCACCCAUUUGGAAGAGUCUCUCUUGAAUGAAUCUGCCUGCAAUCUCUGGACCAGGGGCUCUUGCUUCAGCAGGGCCUUGAAGCUUGAUUCAAGUACUAAUGCUUACUCAGAGCUGAAACUACUAGCAGGUUGAAAUAGCAGGAUCAAAUGUUAGAAUGUCCAGAUGUUAAAAUAAAGGAACAGCAGCAACGAUAUACUGAGAAUAACUGCAGGUUGUGAUAAAAGAAGGACUGUGGAUGGAUAUUUAAAUGGUGAUGGAGCAGCUUGUGUACUUUAGGGGAAACUAGAUGACCUAGGACAGAGAAUAUUGUCUCUGCUGUUCAUAUAUUCACAUUCCUCAACUUUUAAUUUGCUUAUAGGCCACCACCUUGUCCCAUACACACAUCUCUUGUUUUGAUGCAGCAGCCUUCAUCAAUGCAGUGCUCUCCAGAUGUGUUGGAAGAUAGUUCCCAUCACCCCCAUAGAUCAGCAUAUUUUGGAGCACCAUAACAAGGGCAAGUAGGAGGAUUGGAGUGGAGUAGCCUCAACUUAAUGUGGCCAAAAGAACCACACACUGCCUUUAGCAUCAUCUUCGUUUCUUCAUGCAUUGCUUACAUCAAAAUUGUCAUUGUACUGUAGCUAGCUUUCUUGCUCCAAUUUCUCCUCUAAGAAAGCCCUUAGCUAGAUUUCAGCCAUUUUGUUUUAAUUAUUGGCCUUUUGUCAUAUCUCUCUGCUUGAAUGCCUCAACCAAUUCCAUCUUUUAUUUUUAUCACAUGCCCCUCCUCUUAAAUUGAGUAUUAUCAUGCUGUAAUAAAUUUCAGGGUUCUAGACCACACUUCAUAUCCCUACACCAGGCUGCUUCUCUUCUCUUUGCUUAAUUUUCCUAUUGGAUUUUCCUGUCCUUCAGUGCCACUUCUGUCACUGGGCAUAAACAUAGAUUCAGAAUUGUUAUUCACAUGCUUCUUAAAGACUGAGAUAUCUAUUUUUUGCAAAAUAUUUCCUGAACCAUCAAAAUAACAUCAUUUUCCUUUCCUACUGCUCCCUGACUCUCCUUGUCCACCCCAUUAUUUCUUGUUCUCUUACUAGUCUUGUUCACUUAGCGUGGACUGGACUCUUCGCAAGAGCUGCAAAACUUUUACGGAACCUGUUACUGUUUUGGAGCUUUAUAAAUAGGUUCUGAAGUUGCUGGCUGCUCAUAAUGCUUUUGUUAGUGAGGGGUCCAAGGCCUUCUUGUUCUGAGUACAGUAAUAGAAAAGAUGUAGCAUAACUGAGAUGGACAGCAGCUAAGGAAAGCUACAGAGAAAGGAAAGAACUGGCAAAAGAAAGGAGCAGCAAAGAUUCUCUCCACUUCUUUACUCUAUGACCCUUUUAGCCCUUACUUUCUCUGCCCUUUGCUCACACCCCCUAUUUUACCUUUAUCAGACACCCUGAUCCCCUUAUGUCAAUGGGCAUUAUAGAACUCAUGUUUUCAUCACAAACACAAUUUUCAUCUCAAGGCACAUGACAGAACCCCACACUUGGUUGAUGCCACUUUUAACCCUCAUUACUAGAUUUUCUCAUGACUUCAGAUGAAUUGCAACCCACAGUCCUUCACUGAUCUCUGCAUUUCUCACUCAAGGGCAUUAGAGCUCUUAACAUCCAUUUCCUGUUUAAUACCUAGUUGUGAAAGGUGCUUAAUAAAUAUCUCUAAGUACAUGGAGACUCUGCCCAUUGAAAUCAUACAUUUCAAGUAUGAUGACCUCUCUGCCUCUGCCUUGUUCUUCCAGCAUCUUUUAGCAUUAUUGGGAACUGGCAGCAUGGACAAUCUAGGGCCCAGUAAUUGUGCUCAGCAUUUUUCCUUUCCACAGGAAUCCCAGCAUAAUUCACUCUGCCUCUCCUGAUUUUUGAAUGAAACCUAAAGGCACCAAACUGUUUUGAGUGGUGCAGCAUUUUCUCUUUGUUGUGGGUGCAAGGAAAGAAGCCACAAAGCAAAAUCCCACAAAACCCUCUUUUCUUCACUUGAAGUUCUUCUCCAGAUGUGCUAAGGAUUUGUUGAAUUUAAUGCCAGGGCUGCAAGAUACCUUGGUGCCAGGAAAUGUUGGAAGCAUAAGGGUAUUAGCACAUGUGCAAUGAGAACCUUGGUGUAUAUCAGAUGAAGUCCCCUCAUGUAAGGAAGAGGGAAGAUUGCACAUACACCAGCUCCGUUAUGAGUCCUUUGCAACCAGUGUGUUUGCAUUGCCAUUUGGUACUGUGGAACCCACUUGAAGUCUACUGAGAGGCAACAGGGUUGCUGUGAUUAGAAGGCCCUGAAGGGUGGGCACACUGAUUGGUGAGAACACUGGACAGUGCAGUUUCCUGGGGAUGGAGGCAGCAGGUUGGUCCAUUUUGUCUUCAAUGCCCAGAGGAAGUGGGUGCAAAUCCCAGCCAUUCCCUCUGCUGGGCCUUGGCCCAUCCCAGCCAAAACCUCCCAAUUAAUUCCCAUUGUAGGGACUUCCCCAGAUGCAUCUUGAAUAAAUGAGGAUUGCCUCUACAAAAGUCACCCAGUCCAGUGUGGACAAGAAGCUGCUUUGUCCAUGCAUCCAAGAGAAGAGUGCCUCAGAGGGAUACACCAAGGAGAGAAGUCCUGGGGAUGUGAAGGUCUGGGCUCCAGCAGUGGCUGGCUAGAUCACAUUGUCAAAGAACUUCAUGGAAUUCAUGAUGUUUUCAUCCUGUUAGAGAUAAAAGAGUGUCAAGCCCUUGAAUAUGGGAGGAAACAAGGAAGAAGGUCUAAAGAUCUUGUCUGCAAAUAAUGCUUCAGGUUUGUGCUUUCCUCAGAAACUUGUACUGUGGACAAAAAAGACCUUUCAAACCAAACCUAACGUGCUCUUUUUCCCACCCCCUUUUCUAUUUUGGUUACCACUAAAAUUGCAGUUAUUUUGAUCCAUACUUCAGACAUGUUACUUUUUUAUUACAACUUCUAGAUUCUCCUAGAUAACAAGCCUCCCAGUAAUUGUGACGGCUGGGGAUACUUUAAAACAUCCUGGUGAUCCCAGAACAGUUUUACCAGGAAAUUAAUAUUGCUGGCAGGAUGUAAAUUGUACAUUCCUGUUUUAGGUCAUGUCUUUAUGUUAUUUGCUGCUAUAAAGGGCCACAAUAACCAAAUGCUGAAUUGCUAUAUUACCUUUUGGCAGGAUUCAAUGAAUUCCUCAAUAGUCACCACACCAUCCUUGUUUCGAUCCAUUUUCUAAAAUGUAACCAGAGAGUAAUAGAAAUUGAGAGAAAGAUUACUGUUGCUUCAGCAGCAGCAUGUAUAGAGGGGCCUUCUGCAGGAUCUAUAACCAACAGGCAAGUCUCCAGCCUAAUUACAUAAGUUCUCACUAUUUCUCCAUGCAACUUGAAUCUCCAAGUGAGGAUUCAAACCCCGACUUUCUGAGUCAUGCCAUAAGUCACUAUGCUGCACUGGCUCAAGGAAGGACUGAUUUCUAGAAAUACCAACAUUUAUUCAAUCUCAAUGUGUUUUGGAAGGAUGUGAGAACAGGUCUAGCAAGAAGGCAGAAGGUUCUGACAAAACCCUGUACUAAGCCUUUUAGAAAGAGGAUACCCACCAUUAUUAUUCUCCAUAUUCUCUGGACCUAAAUAACAAACAGUCAUAACUCCUAGAUGUGAGAAGAAUUUUGUAAUGUGUAGGAUACUGACGUGGGGGGUUUUAGCCUUACCUGGAAGAAGUUUUCGACGUGUUCCUGGGGUGCUUCAUCUCGCAUGGCUGGGUAAGUGUACUUACCCAUCAUGUCAUAAAUGGAUUUCAUUAUGUCCAGCAUUUCCUGUAUGUCAGAACACAGAAAGAAUAGUAGGAAUAAAUCAUGUCAUAUGGGCUAACAAAAUUUUAUUGAAGUGGAUAGCACCAGGAUAGUCUGCCUUUUCUUGGUAGCGAUUGCUCCACUUUCCCCCAUACCUACCUCUUUGGUAAUACAGCCAUCCUUGUUCAGGUCAUAGAGGUUGAAAGCCCAGUUGAGCCGGUCAUCUAUAGUGCCACGUAGGAUAAUGGACAAGCCAGCCACAAAGUCCUGCAGGAAAAUAAAGGAGAAAGAUGUAGUGAAAGCAGCUACUGAUUACAAACCACCAGGACUCAGGACUGUUGUAUUGUUGUUGGUGCAGAUGUUUCAGACAAUUUACUGGCUAUAGGUCUCAGCAACAAAGGAUAAAUUAUUACUAUAUUUAUAAAAGGGUAUAUCAACUGCCUCUUUCUUAGUCACUUUCUGACUCUGUUGGUGUAUUUGUUAUAAUCCAUAUUUAUUGUGGGUCUGACUAAAUAGGUAGAAAUGAAUGGGGAUCAUGGUGCUAGUCUUACACUGAGAUAUACACAUCUCCAGUAUGAUAGUACUGUACACAUGCACAAAGGCACUAUUUUAGUCUCGGGGUCCUAACCACUUUAAUUUGGUCUUAAUCACCAGAGUGAAGUACCAUUUUCGGCCUAGAGAUGCAGAUUCAGAUUCUUCCAGGAGAUGGCCCCACUGAUCUGCUAAAUAGAAAGGCAUGUAGUACAGAGGAUUAAUUCAAUGGAGAGUGUCAACUACAGCAGAGCCCUUGAAUUAAUUAGAGCAUCUACACUGGUGUAAAUUCCAUAGUGUCAGUGGGUCUGCAUAUCAGCUGUAUUUAGACCAUAGAAUCAUAGAAAAGUAGAGUUGGAAGAGACCUCAUGGGCCAUCCAGUCCGACCCCCUGCCAAGAAGCAGGAAAUCGCAUUCAAAGCACCCCCGACAGAUGGCCAUCCAGCCUCUGUUUAAAAGCUUCCAAAGAAGGAGCCUCCACCACAGUCUGGGGGAGAGAGUUCCACUGCCGAACAGCUCUCACAGUGAGGAAGUUCUUCCUGAUGUUCAGGUGGAAUCUCCUUUCCUGUAGUUUGAAGCCAUUGUUCCGCGUCCUAGUCUGCAGGGCAGCAGAAAACAAGCUUGUUCCCUCCUCCCUAUGACUUCCCCUCACAUAUUUGUACAUGGCUAUCAUGUCUCCUCUCAGCCUUCUCUUCUGCAGGCUAAACCAUGAUGUUCACACAUAUACUGGAGUCCAGCAUACACAUCUGUAUUUAAGAGCCAGAGCUAUUUAAAUUCCUAGCUUGAACAGGUAAUCUUGAUGCAGUUCAAUAUGCAAACAUGCCACUAACAAUUGAAAGUUCAUUCCGCUGUUUUGCUUCCAGUCUUGAACUGCAAAGCUAAAGCCAAAUACACCAUGGGCCCUCCAUAUUUAUGGAGUCUGCAUUCACAGAUUCCACCAUCCGUGGCUUGAAAAUAUUGUUCACAUAUUCCCAAAAACAAACCUUAAUUUUACCAUUAUGUAUAUGGAAGACCAUUUUAUUAUCCCAUUAUAUAUAAUGGGACUUGAGCAUCCAUCCACACAUUUUGAUAGUGAUGGGGUGCUGGUGGUCCUGGAACAAAAAUCCAAUAGACAACAAGGCGCACUUUAUAUAAUAAAACUGUUGGGUGCCUUCAAAAUGUUUCUAGUUUAUGGCAAUCCUAUCCUAAGGUUUUCUUGGCAAGAUUUAUUCAGAGGAGGAUUUGCCUUUGCUUCUCUGGCCCCCUCCACACAGCUGAAUAAAAUCCCACAUUAUCUGCUUUGAACUGGAAUAUAUUGCAGCGUGGACUCAGAUAACCCAGUUCAAAGCAGAUAUUGUGGGAUUUUCUACCCUGAUAUUCUGGGUUAUAUGGCUGUGUAAACGGGUCCUCUCUGAGGCUGAGAGUUGGACUUGCCUAAGUUCACAUAGUGAAGUGAGGAUUUAAACCCUGGCCUCCAGAAUCAUCUUCCAGUGCUCAAACCACUACAUAAUGUUGUCUCCUGGCAAAACUACUAAAUACAGUCUCACUCUUUCUGUUACACUAAACAGCUGUUAAUAUUUGACCAUGAUGAUGGUAAAGACUCCAAAACCUUUUGACUUAGUGGCAAAUCCCAAACUUACUACAUUCAGUUUUGCUCUCAUCUGUGACUUCAGAUUACAGGGAAGUAAAUAAGAAAACUUGGAAUCUUACCUCAAAGCUAACAGACCCAUCAUGAUCAGUGUCAAACGCAUUGAAAAGGAAAGUUGCAUAAGUACUGGAAUCUGCAGAGAAGAGCAUCAGGCUAAUUAAUUAAGAGGAAGCAAUCUGUACACCAAUCUACCAUAUUUCAGCAAGAUACAAACAAGGGCAACAGGCUGGAAACAAGAUCUUAGAGCAUGGACCCUUAGAUCUUCUGGUGAGGUGCUCCUCUCGAUCCCACCGCCAUCCCAGAUUCGGCUGGUGGGGACAAGAGAGAGGGCAUUUUCGGUGGUGGCCCUCUGCUUUUGGAACGCCCUACCCAAAGAGCUAAGAUUAGCACCAUCAAUAACAUCUUUUCGUAGGGAUUUGAAAACUUGGUGGUUCCAACAGGUUUUUGGAAAUGAUUAACCUGAAGCCUUAGACGCCACUUUAGCCAUUAAAAGGAAACUGGGAUCCAAAUUGGCUUUUGGAAGUGCUUACUCUGUAAUUUUAGACAGCACAUUUGACUAUUUCAUGACACUUGUCCUGUACUUUACCCGCUCUUUUGAUCUUGUUAUGGUGUUUAUUCUAUUAGCCCUACCUGAUAGUUAUACAGUAGGCCGAAGUGUGGAAUUUUAGCCUAGGUUCCUUGCUAUCAGUCACACUUUGCCUUGGCUUUAUGCCAUUUUUACCAUAUGAGUCCUAUUCCGACCAUACUGCCAUCUUGCCUGUUUUAUAUUUUUUAUAUAUUACACACUUUCGUUGUAGAACCACUAAAUGGAGCAAUCUGCAAUUGCUCUUGCUAGGUAUUAUAUUGUUUUAAAAUGUUGGAAUUCUAAACAUGUUUGUUAAUUGCUGUUAUAUUGCUUCUUGUAUUUUGUAUUAUGUAUAUGUAUUGAUUGUUUUGAUGAUGUGUAAACCACUCUGAGUCCUUAUUGGAGAUAGACUGGUAUAUAAAUAAAGUGUUGUUGUUGUU